GCCUGAUGCAGCCAUGCCGCGUGUGUGAAGAAGGCCUUCGGGUUGUAAAGCACUUUCAGUCGUGAGGAAGGUGGUGACGUUAAUAGCGUUGUCGUUUGACGUUAGCGACAGAAGAAGCACCGGCUAACUCCGUGCCAGCAGCCGCGGUAAUACGGAGGGUGCGAGCGUUAAUCGGAAUUACUGGGCGUAAAGCGCAUGCAGGUGGUUUGUUAAGUCAGAUGUGAAAGCCCGGGGCUCAACCUCGGAAUAGCAUUUGAAACUGGCAGACUAGAGUACUGUAGAGGGGGGUAGAAUUUCAGGUGUAGCGGUGAAAUGCGUAGAGAUCUGAAGGAAUACCGGUGGCGAAGGCGGCCCCCUGGACAGAUACUGACACUCAGAUGCGAAAGCGUGGGGAGCAAACAGGAUUAGAUACCCUGGUAGUCCACGCCGUAAACGAUGUCUACUUGGAGGUUGUGGCCUUGAGCCGUGGCUUUCGGAGCUAACGCGUUAAGUAGACCGCCUGGGGAGUACGGUCGCAAGAUUAAAACUCACAUGAAUUGACGGGGGCCCGCACAAGCGGUGGAGCAUGUGGUUUAAUUCGAUGCAACGCGAAGAACCUUACCUACUCUUGACAUCCAGAGAACUUUCCAGAGAUGGAUUGGUGCCUUCGGGAACUCUGAGACAGGUGCUGCAUGGCUGUCUCAGCUCGUGUUGUGAAUGUUGGGUUAAGUCCCGCAACGAGCGCACCCUUAUCCUUGUUUGCCGCGAGUAAUGUCGGGAACUCCAGGGAGACUGCCGGUGAUAACCGGAGGAAGUGGGGACGACGUCAAGUCAUCAUGGCCCUUACGAGUAGGCUACACACGUGCUACAAUGGCGCAUACAGAGGGCGGCCACUUGCGAAGUGAGCGAAUCCCAAAAAGUGCGUCGUAUCCGGAUGGAGUCUGCACUCGACUCCUGAAUCGGAUCGCUAGUAAUCGUGGAUCAGAUGCACGUGAAUACGUUCCGGGCUUGUACACACCGCCCGUCAACAUGGGAGUGGCUGCA
Molecule: ribosomal RNA, 1023 nt
Filed under: Vibrio sp. 7513
Lineage: Bacteria; Pseudomonadati; Pseudomonadota; Gammaproteobacteria; Vibrionales; Vibrionaceae
Description: bacterial SSU rRNA
Rfam family: Bacterial small subunit ribosomal RNA
Source: RNAcentral